This is a long non-coding RNA of Mus musculus (house mouse), 2048 nucleotides long. RefSeq annotates it as predicted gene, 39212. NCBI's taxonomy places the organism in Eukaryota, Metazoa, Chordata, Mammalia, Rodentia, Muridae. The record is from RefSeq and is marked validated. The transcript has 3 exons.
CCUGAGUGGGGAGUGGAGACGAUGGUGAGGGAGGAAGAAGGGGCCACAGAGAGAAGGGGGAAGUUUGGAGAGGUAGGGCCUGGAGUGUCCCCAGGCAGCAGCCCCUGGUUUCCUUCCUAGUCACACCUCCACCUCUUUAUUUUUACAUUUCUUUUCAGCUAGAGCACCCCCCACCCCAUCCCUCGUGGCAUCAUCUGAAAGUGUGACCUUCCACCUCAUGGGUUCCAGGAAUCAAACUCAAGUCGUCGGGCUUGGCAGCAAAUGCCUUUACAGGCUAAGCUAUCUUGCUUGGUCCAUCCCUUUUCUUAGUGUUGAAUACGACCAACUUAAGACUUUCAUUCCAGAGCUAAAGGCAGGAGAACCUCUGUGAGUUCCAGGCCAAGGAGCACUUAGUGAGAUCUUGUCUCAAACUAAGAAGAUAAGAAAGCAGUGUGCACGGAGGGCUGGACAGAGCGAUCACCCACUGGAAGCUGAGGCCGAGCCUGUGUGCUGGGAGCUGAGCCCAGGACCUUGUUUUAGGAACGUAUGCUACCACACCCUCAACCUCACAAGUCCUUCUUCCCUCACUUACACACAGGUGGGUCUGCUCUGUCUGCUAAUUUACUCAGUUUUUGUUUGUUCUUUUGAGGACUCUCCAUGUAGUCCUGGCUGCUCUGGAACUCCCUGUGUAGAACAGGCUGUCCUGGAACUCACAGAGGUCUGCCUGCCUCUGCUUCCUGAGUGCCCAAAUUAAAAAAAAAAAAUUUGUAGCUUUUACUUUAAAUUUAUUUAUUUUCUGUGCCACACAUGUUUUGUGUACACGUGACGGAGAAUGGAACUCAGGUUUCAUUCAAAGAUAAGAAACUUUACCCACUGAACUAUUUCUUGAGACCCUAUCCAGCUUUUGACAUUGGAACACAAUGUUGUCAUCUACAAAGUUCAUGCUGGAGACCCAGGCAAUCAAGAUAUAUAUGUAUGUGUGUGUAUAGUCAUUCUCAUAUAUACAUAUACAUAUAUGCAUAUAUUUAUAUAUACAUAUAUUUAUAUAUAUAUAAAUCUUACAGCCAAAUUUAUUCAGAACUAAACCAUUUAUCACCUAUCCUUUACCAAUAUUCAGCUUCCACAUCCCACACCUUUAAUCAGUACAGAAACCUCUCUGUGCCAUUUUCCCAUGCACAGCCAGCCACCAGAGGGUGUCCAGUAGACUAUCCUUCCUAUACAUAAGACCCCUCUUCUGCUCCCAGGUCAUUUGGAAUAAAAGUUGGAGUUCCGCCCCACCUGCAGUCUCCAGGGUCAGGGUUUAGCCCUGUACAUUCCCUGCUCUUAUCUCCUCCCACUUUUCUAUUUACUGUGUUCUGGUUUUUUUUUUUUUUUUUUUUUCUUUCUUGGUUUUUCGAGACAGGGUUUCUCUGUAUAGCCCUGGCUGUCCUGGAACUCACUUUGUAGACCAGGCUGGCCUCGAACUCAGAAAUCCGCCUGCCUCUGCCUCCCAAGUACUGGGAUUAAAGGCGUGCACCACCACUGCUAGGCAUUAAUGUGUUCUGUGACCUUGACCUCUUCAGGACUUCCUAAACUCAUCACUGAGGUCCAGCCUCAGGGCCUUUGUAAGGCUGUUCUCUCUGCCUGGAAUGCUGUUGUGUAACAGAUUCUUUUCAGAUUGAAAUAUUCCUUCCUGCAGGGAAAUUCUUUAAGGCACAAGGUAAACAACUCUAAGUAGCUGAAGGAAGUCCCUGAAACUGAGCAGAUUCACCUAGCCCCUCCUUGCCCGAGUAAGCAGUAAAGACUGCUGAGAGUCUCACUCAGAGGAAUCAAGCUGCUCUGAAGAUCCUGUGUUAAGACAGCUGCUAGAAAAACAGAGUCUAGCAGAACUGCCUCAGUUUAGACCAACUGAGUCACUUGGGAAGGACCCUCUCCAACCUACUGAGCUGCAUACAGGCUGUGCAAUAUGCUCCGGUUUACCAGCUUUUGUGAACUGUCACCUAUGCUGGGGUUAGUUUUGGUGAUGCACUGUCUUUGAGUCAUUUCUGCUUCUUAAGUAAUCCAAAUAAAACUCAUGGUUCACCACGUUG